This 969-nucleotide ribosomal RNA is filed under the name uncultured bacterium. RNAcentral's name for it is "bacterial SSU rRNA". It matches the Rfam family "Bacterial small subunit ribosomal RNA", at positions 533 to 1500 of the family's 1533-position model. The record is from RNAcentral.
GGGGGGGGGGUGUCGGGAUUAUUGGGCGUAAGAGCUCGUAGGCGGCUUGUCGCGUCGUCCGUGAAAACCCGGGGCUCAACCCCGGGCUUGCGGUCGAUACGGGCAGGCUGGAGUUCGGUAGGGGAGACUGGAAUUCCUGGUGUAGCGGUGAAAUGCGCAGAUAUCAGGAGGAACACCGGUGGCGAAGGCGGGUCUCUGGGCCGAUACUGACGCUGAGGAGCGAAAGCGUGGGGAGCGAACAGGAUUAGAUACCCUGGUAGUCCACGCUGUAAACGUUGGGCGCUAGGUGUGGGGGGCCUCUCCGGUUCUCUGUGCCGCAGCUAACGCAUUAAGCGCCCCGCCUGGGGAGUACGGCCGCAAGGCUAAAACUCAAAGGAAUUGACGGGGGCCCGCACAAGCGGCGGAGCAUGCGGAUUAAUUCGAUGCAACGCGAAGAACCUUACCUGGGUUUGACAUGGCCGCAAAACUGUCAGAGAUGGCAGGUCCUUCGGGGGCGGUCACAGGUGGUGCAUGGCUGUCGUCAGCUCGUGUCGUGAGAUGUUGGGUUAAGUCCCGCAACGAGUGCAACCCUCGUCCCAUGUUGCCAGCAAUUCGGUUGGGGACUCAUGGGAGACUGCCGGGGUCAACUCGGAGGAAGGUGGGGAUGACGUCAAGUCAUCAUGCCCCUUAUGUCCAGGGCUUCACGCAUGCUACAAUGGCCGGUACAAACCGUUGCGAGCCCGUGAGGGGGAGCGAAUCGGAAAAAGCCGGUCUCAGUUCGGAUCGGGGUCUGCAACUCGACCCCGUGAAGUCGGAGUCGCUAGUAAUCGCAGAUCAGCAACGCUGCGGUGAAUACGUUCCCGGGCCUUGUACACACCGCCCGUCACGUCACGAAAGUCGGCAACACCCGAAGCCGGUGGCCUAACCCCUUGUGGGAGGGAGCCGUCGAAAGUGGGGCUGGCGAUUGGGACGAAGUCGUAACAAGGUAAC